AGUGAACGCUGGCGGUAGGCCUAACACAUGCAAGUCGAACGGCAGCACAGUAAGAGCUUGCUCUUACGGGUGGCGAGUGGCGGACGGGUGAGGAAUACAUCGGAAUCUACUUUUUCGUGGGUGAGAACGUAGGGAAACUUACGCUAAUACCGCAUACGACCUACGGGUGAAAGCAUGGGAUCUUCGGACCUUGCGCGAUUGAAUGAGCCGAUGUCGGAUUAGCUAGUUGGCGGGGUAAAGGCCCACCAAGGCGACGAUCCGUAGCUGGUCUGAGAGGAUGAUCAGCCACACUGGAACUGAGACACGGUCCAGACUCCUACGGGAGGCAGCAGUGGGGAAUAUUGGACAAUGGGCGCAAGCCUGAUCCAGCCAUACCGCGUGGGUGAAGAAGGCCUUCGGGUUGUAAAGCCCUUUUGUUGGGAAAGAAAAGCAGCAGGUUAAUACCCCGCUGUUCUGACGGUACCCAAAGAAUAAGCACCGGCUAACUUCGUG
This 492-nucleotide ribosomal RNA is filed under the name uncultured bacterium. RNAcentral's name for it is "partial 16S ribosomal RNA". It matches the Rfam family "Bacterial small subunit ribosomal RNA", at positions 29 to 507 of the family's 1533-position model. The record is from RNAcentral.